AGAAAUUUAGGCUAACCAGACCACGGGCCUUCAAAGCCUCAAGUAGAAGUUAAAAUCUUCUAAUUUCUG
This 69-nucleotide transfer RNA is filed under the name Petropedetes sp. MVZ 234827. RNAcentral's name for it is "tRNA-Trp". It matches the Rfam family "tRNA". Rfam says of the family: Transfer RNA (tRNA) molecules are approximately 80 nucleotides in length. Their secondary structure includes four short double-helical elements and three loops (D, anti-codon, and T loops). Lineage: Eukaryota; Metazoa; Chordata; Amphibia; Anura; Petropedetidae. The record is from RNAcentral.